AAGGAAGAAUAACAGCUCCGGCAUUUCCCCCCUGCAGAAGCGCAUGCAGGUGGCGGCGGAGACAAUAGCGACCCCAGCGCCCCGGGCACGGCCGCCUCCACCAAACCGCCCGGCAGGAAACUGGACGUGAUGUGGAAUUAGAGCCUACCCAGCUGAAGCCACCCAACACUUACUACAAAUAUAGCCGUGAUGCGUAGGCCACAAAAUGGCUCCACUCACUUUUCCCAAUGAAAAGCAAAUGCGCGCUGCGGCCCGCGUGCGAGAGUCGGCGGCCGGGUAACAGGGACGAGCCGGCGCGGAGGCCCGGGGGGGCCCCGUCUCCCCCCCGCUGCGGCCGGGCGCGGGUGCCCUGCGCGGGCAGGGUGCGUGCGCGCUUGCACACGCGUGUGUCGGGGGUCGCGGCGCAGCCGUCGGGCCGGGCGCGGGGCGGAGGGGCUGCUCCAGCCGGCCGGGGCCUCCCCGCCCGUCUCCCCUGCACCCCGCUCGCCACUGAUCUUUAGCAACCCGGGCCCAAGAGAUCCACCCUCUCCUCUCUUCUCCCCCCCAC
This 547-nucleotide long non-coding RNA is filed under the name Apteryx owenii (little spotted kiwi). Its description in RNAcentral is "lncRNA (ENSAOWG00000008734.1)". The record is from RNAcentral. Lineage: Eukaryota; Metazoa; Chordata; Aves; Apterygiformes; Apterygidae.